Molecule: long non-coding RNA, 314 nt
Filed under: Elaeis guineensis (African oil palm)
Lineage: Eukaryota; Viridiplantae; Streptophyta; Magnoliopsida; Arecales; Arecaceae
Description: long non-coding RNA (EGUI_LNC016468)
Source: RNAcentral
UCUCCCUCUCGCCACCCCCUAUUUUGAAGAGAAAGAGGAAGAGAGAGUCGCUCCUUCGUACCUCUCUCUUCUCUUUUCUCUCUCUCAUCUCUCCCUUCCUUUUUCUCUGUUCUUUCUCUAAUUGGAUCUAGGGAUCCAUGGAAGAUGAAGUAGGGGAUUUGAUAUUAAACUCUUGGUGAAUCCCAGUAAAAGGAUUUAGAUAAAUAAUUUACACCUUAUGAUUUUCUUUUAAUAUUGAGAUUUGUUCUAUAAAAAAAUAAUUUUUUGAGUACCAAAAUGCCGAUCAAAUUUCUUUACACCCAGUUUAUAGAUCA